Pongo abelii (Sumatran orangutan) is the source of this 148-nucleotide unclassified non-coding RNA. It matches the Rfam family "Metazoan signal recognition particle RNA". From Rfam's summary of the family: The signal recognition particle (SRP) is a universally conserved ribonucleoprotein. The record is from Ensembl. Lineage: Eukaryota; Metazoa; Chordata; Mammalia; Primates; Hominidae.
GCUGGGCGUGGUGGCGCGCGCCUGUAAUCCCAGUUUCUUGGGAGGCUGAGGCAGGAGAAUUGCUUGAACCCGGGAGGUGGAGGUUUCAGUGAGCCGAGAUUGUGCCACUGCACACCAGCCUGGGCAACAGAGCAAGACUCCGUCUCAA